Molecule: long non-coding RNA, 352 nt
Filed under: Musa acuminata (dwarf banana)
Lineage: Eukaryota; Viridiplantae; Streptophyta; Magnoliopsida; Zingiberales; Musaceae
Description: long non-coding RNA (MACU_LNC000344)
Source: RNAcentral
GAUGCGGCUUACGAUGGGGCAGGCUGAGCACCGGUUGAUGGAUUUCCUGCUAGCUUCGCUGGAGAUUAUUCGACGCGGGCAUUGGAACUUCUACAGGUCAGUCGUCACUCUCGCAACAUGCACCUGCAUGCAUGCAUUGUUAGAAUAGCCAUCAAGAAGGCUGAUGCUGUGACAUGGUGCAUGUAAAGGUUGGAGAAUGAGCACCUGAACAAUGUGGGCAAGUUCAGGGCUGUGAAGACGGUGCCGCUACCCUUCUGUGAGUUGGCUUCCGAUGAUUGAGGAACUGCAUGCCUAACAGUUGUACAUAGACGGACGAAGCUGGGGGCUCUUUUGGGAGGAUGCUGCAGAGCAC